RNAcentral lists this unclassified non-coding RNA (277 nucleotides) under Hevea brasiliensis (rubber tree). Lineage: Eukaryota; Viridiplantae; Streptophyta; Magnoliopsida; Malpighiales; Euphorbiaceae. The record is from RNAcentral.
GGUGUGCAAUCGGUCGGUUUGGUUUUGCACAAAAAAAAAACUGGCAAAACCAAAAUACCCAAGUCCUAAAAAAUGUAAGCCGAACUGAACCGAUUUGAUAGAACAACUGAAUUUCCUCAGGUCAGAUUGCCGGUUUUCAACAGUGCAUUAGCAAAAUGCCUAUCAUCGUUUUCAAUUCCACAAAAUGCCCAAUGUGGGUUUCAAGUUUUAACCCACAAAAAUAUUUCAAUCCCACACAACUUACAUACAUAUAUAAAGCCCAAUUUGAUUAUUUUAG